AUACGGAAGGUCCGGGCGUUAUCCGGAUUUAUUGGGUUUAAAGGGAGCGCAGGCGGAGAUGCAAGCGUGACGUCAAAUUUCGGGGCUCAACCCCGUCUCGCGUCGCGAACUGCGUCCCUUGGUUGCGGGAAGGGGAGGCGGAACUCGUGGAGUAGCGGUGAAAUGCAUAGAUAUCACGAAGAACUCCGAUCGCGAAGGCAGCCUUCCGGCCCGUCAACGACGCUCAUGCUCGAAGGUGCGGGUAUCAAACAGGAUUAGAUACCCUGGUAGUCCGCACAGUAAACGAUGGACACCCGCGGUUUGGCCUAUAUGGCUGAGCCGCCAAGCGAAAGCGUUAAGUGUCCCACCUGGGGAGUACGCCGGCAACGGUGAAACUCAAAUGAAUUGACGGGG
RNAcentral lists this ribosomal RNA (393 nucleotides) under uncultured bacterium. RNAcentral's name for it is "partial 16S ribosomal RNA". It matches the Rfam family "Bacterial small subunit ribosomal RNA", at positions 523 to 918 of the family's 1533-position model. The record is from RNAcentral.